CGGAGGAUCCAAGCGUUAUCCGGAAUCAUUGGGUUUAAAGGGUCCGUAGGCGGUUUAAUAAGUCAGUGGUGAAAUCUGGUCGCUCAACGAUCAAACGGCCAUUGAUACUGUUAGACUUGAAUUAUUGGGAAGUAACUAGAAUAUGUAGUGUAGCGGUGAAAUGCUUAGAUAUUACAUGGAAUACCAAUUGCGAAGGCAGGUUACUAUCAAUACAUUGACGCUGAUGGACGAAAGCGUGGGGAGCGAACAGGAUU
This 254-nucleotide ribosomal RNA is filed under the name uncultured bacterium. RNAcentral describes it as "partial 16S ribosomal RNA". It matches the Rfam family "Bacterial small subunit ribosomal RNA", at positions 526 to 779 of the family's 1533-position model. The record is from RNAcentral.